This 460-nucleotide ribosomal RNA is filed under the name uncultured bacterium. Its description in RNAcentral is "partial 16S ribosomal RNA". It matches the Rfam family "Bacterial small subunit ribosomal RNA", at positions 338 to 795 of the family's 1533-position model. The record is from RNAcentral.
CCUACGGGAGGCAGCAGUGAGGAAUAUUGGUCAAUGGACGAGAGUCUGAACCAGCCAAGUAGCGUGAAGGAUGACUGCCCUAUGGGUUGUAAACUUCUUUUAUAAAGGAAUAAAACGAGGCACGUGUGCCUUUUUGCAUGUACUUUAUGAAUAAGGAUCGGCUAACUCCGUGCCAGCAGCCGCGGUAAUACGGAGGGUCCGAGCGUUAUCCGGAUUUAUUGGGUUUAAAGGGGGCGUAGAUGGGUUGUUAAGUCAGUUGUGAAAGUUUGCGGCUCAACCGUAAAAUUGCAAUUGAUACUGGCAGUCGUGAGUACAGUAGAGGUAGGCGGAAUUCGUGGUGUAGCGGUGAAAUGCUUAGAUAUCACGAAGAACCCCGAUUGCGAAGGCAGCUUACUAAACUGUGACUGACAUUGAUGCUCGAAAGUGUGGGUAUCAAACAGGAUUAGAUACCCUGGUAGGC